AGAAACAGCGGGUCAGGGCGUCGCAGUUUCUAACGCGCCAUUAAUGACUCUCAGCCUGACACCAUCUGUCUCUGGUCGUCUCUCCUCUCUCCUGAUACUUUCUCCAGUUCCUCGCCACCUGCUGAGGGACAGACAGGCUGUGUGGAUAUUGGUAGGGAUGAAAGUGAAAUAGUGUGCCGAGUCAUGGGACUCAGCAGGCUGCAGCUUGUUUAAUUAGCUCGUUGUCCUGUGUGUCUGUCUCCCUCAACAGGAUGCGCUACAACGGGCUCUGUGAGCAGACGGACCUUUCCUCAUACAGGAUUAUUUCCAAACCACCGAAAAGAUUUGGAGAAAACGUGGAAGCUUAAAAUAAAACCUGAGUUUGGUUGCACUCGGAACUAGAGGGGCACGAUAAUUAUCGGCCUCAUAUGAAGAAAUUAAGGCGUCAUUCUUCUUAUUUCCCAGUAUGAAAUCAGUUAUCGGCCUUUGGAAUGAGAAAACUAUCGGUUAUCGAUUUCAAACAGCAGUUAUUGUGCCUCCCUACUAGGAACUUAUCGGCCUUUUGUACAUUAACAUUUGUGAAUUAAUAUGUUACAAGUAAUCUUGUUUGUUGAUAAUAAAAAAAAACAUUUUGUCCUGGGAAUGAUUUAACUGUAACAAAACUAAAUUUAUGAUUUUUGGGAACAGAAAAAUGGAUGAUUUGAUCAUAAUAUCCAUGGAUUAUGACUUAGCGGGACGAGUACAUCAAGUUAAAUUUCUAGGAAACGUUCUGGAUCAUAAAUUUAACUAGAAAUCUCAUAAAAUAUGUAAACCAAAAACUAAAUCACGGACUUCUAAAUAAAGUAAAAAUGGUUUAGAACUAUCAACUCUCCUGACAUAUUGUUCAUUUGUUGUCAUUAAGUCUUGUACAUUUCUGAGUCAGAAAUGAGAAUAAUUAUAUUUUGUUUGCGGUUUACAUUGUUAAUUUAAUGUAUAUGUAUAUUUAGAGGGGUGAAUAAUAAGUUAUUAGUGAAUAAAAACCAAGUAGAAAAAUGGACACCCCAACAUUAUUUUUCAUUUUUGUAAUAAGUAAGAUAGUUUUGUUUCAUUUCGUCCGUGCAAUUCCGCGCGCGGCCGCUAGGGACGCUGUCGCGUUGGUGGUAUAGAAAGGACUGAGCACACAAGAAGAAUAAAUCUUCCUGUUAUGCUGACGGAAGCUCAACGUGUGUGUCUCAUCUUUUCUAUACCACAGACGCUGUUUUAGGGGAGCAGAAGGAUGAUGUUGUUUUUCUUAGAAAGCCUCAGAAACGGACAUCAAAGAAAUGUCGGAGUUGGUGCUUCCUGAACAAUACGGCUCAAAAAAUAUGGUUGCAGUUCUUCGGUAGAACCAGCUCACUCUUCUCCAUCACGCCAUCUAGCUUCUACCUCCAGAAUUGCAAGU
This is a long non-coding RNA of Gambusia affinis (western mosquitofish), 1399 nucleotides long. RefSeq lists it as uncharacterized. The record is from RefSeq and is a predicted model, not a curated record. Lineage: Eukaryota; Metazoa; Chordata; Actinopteri; Cyprinodontiformes; Poeciliidae. The transcript has 3 exons.